This 119-nucleotide ribosomal RNA is filed under the name Pteropus alecto (black flying fox). The record is from RNAcentral. Lineage: Eukaryota; Metazoa; Chordata; Mammalia; Chiroptera; Pteropodidae.
GUCUACGGCCAUGCCACCCUGAACAAACCCGAUCCUGUCUGACCUCAGAAGCUGAACAGGGUCGGGCCUGGUUAGUACUCGGAAGGGAGACCACCUAGGAAGACCAGGUGCUGUAGGCA